GAUGAACGCUGGCGGCGUGCUUAACACAUGCAAGUCGAACGGGAUCCAGGCAGCUUGCUGUCUGGUGAGAGUGGCGAACGGGUGAGUAAUGCGUGACCAACCUGCCCCAUGCUUCGGAAUAGCUCCUGGAAACGGGUGGUAAUGCCGGAUGCUCCGCAUCAUCGCAUGAUGGUGCGGGAAAGGGUUUACCGGCAUGGGAUGGGGUCGCGUCCUAUCAGCUUGUUGGCGGGGUGAUGGCCUGCCAAGGCUUCGACGGGUAGCCGGCCUGAGAGGGCGACCGGCCACAUUGGGACUGAGAUACGGCCCAGACUCCUACGGGAGGCAGCAGUGGGGAAUAUUGCACAAUGGGCGCAAGCCUGAUGCAGCGACGCCGCGUGCGGGAUGACGGCCUUCGGGUUGUAAACCGCUUUUGAUUGGGAGCAAGCGAGAGUGAGUGUACCUUUCGAAUAAGCACCGGCUAACUACGUGCCAGCAGCCGCGGUAACAC
This 487-nucleotide ribosomal RNA is filed under the name uncultured bacterium. RNAcentral's name for it is "bacterial SSU rRNA". It matches the Rfam family "Bacterial small subunit ribosomal RNA", at positions 28 to 526 of the family's 1533-position model. The record is from RNAcentral.